GACGAACGCUGGCGGCGUGCUUAACACAUGCCAGUCGAACGGAAAGGCCCUGCUUUUGUGGGGUGCUCGAGUGGCGAACGGGUGAGUAACACGUGUGUAACCUGCCCUUGACUUUGGGAUAACUUCAGGAAACUGGGGCUAAUACCGGAUAGGAGCUCCUGCUGCAUGGUGGGGGUUGGAAAGUUUCGGCGGUUGGGGAUGGACUCGCGGCUUAUCAGCUUGUUGGUGGGGUAGUGGCUUACCAAGGCUUUGACGGGUAGCCGGCCUGAGAGGGUGACCGGCCACAUUGGGACUGAGAUACGGCCCAGACUCCUACGGGAGGCAGCAGUGGGGAAUAUUGCACAAUGGGCGGAAGCCUGAUGCAGCAACGCCGCGUGCGGGAUGACGGCCUUCGGGCUGUAAACCGCUUUCGCCUGUGACGAAGCGUGAGUGACGGUAAUGGGUAAAGAAGCACCGGCUAACUACGUG
Molecule: ribosomal RNA, 468 nt
Filed under: uncultured bacterium
Lineage: Bacteria
Description: partial 16S ribosomal RNA
Rfam family: Bacterial small subunit ribosomal RNA
Source: RNAcentral